This 315-nucleotide ribosomal RNA is filed under the name uncultured eukaryote. RNAcentral describes it as "partial 18S ribosomal RNA". It matches the Rfam family "Eukaryotic small subunit ribosomal RNA", at positions 1470 to 1796 of the family's 1831-position model. The record is from RNAcentral.
CCCUUAGACGUUCUGGGCCGCACGCGCGCUACACUGACCAGUGCAACAAGCAUCCGUCCUUGGCCGACAGGCCCGGGCAAUCUUUGAACGCUGGUCGUGAUGGGGAUAGACUUUUGCAAUUUUUGGUCUUCAACGAGGAAUUCCUAGUAAACGUAAGUCAUCAACUUGCAUUGAUUACGUCCCUGCCCUUUGUACACACCGCCCGUCGCACCUACCGAUUGAAUGGUCCGGUGAAGCCUCCGGAUUGGCGCGCACCUCGGUGCCGCCGAGAAGUUGGCUAAACCUUACCAUUUAGAGGAAGGUGAANUCGUANCA